Molecule: long non-coding RNA, 221 nt
Filed under: Rattus norvegicus (Norway rat)
Lineage: Eukaryota; Metazoa; Chordata; Mammalia; Rodentia; Muridae
Description: long non-coding RNA NONRATT027545
Source: RNAcentral
GGUAAAUUGGCACAGACACCAUCAAUUUUUAGACCUUUCUAGACCUUUAGACCUUUAUAACCAGAUCUUUGAUGUCAUAUCUAGGAUCACCCAGACCUUUUGACAGGGGAUCUGACUCUCAGCGACAUCAUGACUCGAGUAAAUGCCGGCAGGAAGGGCUCUCUAGCAGCCUUGUAUGAUUUGGCUGUUCUUAAAAAAAAGGUGAAGGAAAAGGAGGAGAA